ACGGGAGGCAGCAGUGGGGAAUAUUGGACAAUGGGCGAAAGCCUGAUCCAGCCAUGCCGCGUGGGUGAAGAAGGCCUUCGGGUUGUAAAGCCCUGUCGGGAGGGAAGAAACAAAUGACGGUACCUCGCAAGAAAGCACCGGCUAACUCCGUGCCAGCAGCCGCGGUAAUACGGAGGGUGCAAGCGUUGCUCGGAAUCACUGGGCGUAAAGCGACCGCAGGCGGCCUGACAAGUCGGAUGUGAAAGCCCUGGGCUCAACUCAGGAAUAGCAUUCGAAACUGGUAGGCUUGAGUACGGGAGAGGGGGGUGGAAUUCCUGGUGUAGGGGUGAAAUUCGUUGAUAUCAGGAGGAACACCGGCGGCGAAGGCGGCCCCCUGGCCCGCAACUGACGCUCAUGGUCGAAAGCGUGGGGAGCAAACAGGAUUAGAUACCCUGGUA
This 437-nucleotide ribosomal RNA is filed under the name uncultured Myxococcales bacterium. RNAcentral describes it as "bacterial SSU rRNA". It matches the Rfam family "Bacterial small subunit ribosomal RNA", at positions 341 to 792 of the family's 1533-position model. Lineage: Bacteria; Pseudomonadati; Myxococcota; Myxococcia; Myxococcales. The record is from RNAcentral.